UAGUGAUAGCUGGUUGUUCAGGAAAAGAGUCUUAGCUCUACCUUAAGUUUUUCUAUUUACCAAAAAAUACCCUAAACUUAAGUGCUAUUCAAAUAAGGCACAGCUUAUUUGAAAAAGGAUACAACCUAAAAUACUGGGUAAACAAGGGUAACCCAAACAAAGUGGGCCUAAAAGCAGCCACCUUUUAAAAAGCGUUAUAGCUUAAUUAUAUAUACCCCUAAUAAUUAAAUUCCCCUCAACCCUUCAUCAAUACUGAACUGUUUUAUACUUCUAUAAAAGUCAUUAUGCUAGAACUAGUAACAAGAAUUUGCCCUUCUCCAAAAUGUAAGUAUAAACCAAAACGGACCACCCGCUGGCUCUUAACGUAAAUGCACACAAUAUAGCAACAAAAUCUAGAAAACCCUAUAGCAUCAAACGUUAACCUUACACCAGAACAUUCCAGGAAAGAUUAAAAGAGAAAGAAGGAACUCGGCAAACCUUAGCCCCGCCUGUUUACCAAAAACAUCGCCUCUUGACUAACAUAAGAGGUCCAGCCUGCCCAGUGACAAAGUUUAACGGCCGCGGUACCCUAACCGUGCAAAGGUAGCAUAAUCACUUGUUCUUUAAAUAGGGACUUGUAUCAACGGCAUCACGAGGGCUAUACUGUCUCCUCUCUCCAAUCAGUGAAACUGAUCUCCCCGUGAAGAAGCGGGGAUUCAAAUAUAAGACGAGAAGACCCCAUGGAGCUUUAAGCAAUAUAUUUACCUUCAUAUAAACCAACUUAAUAAAAAGAACUAAAUAUUAGCUUUAGGUUGGGGGGACCACGGAGUAUAAUUUAACCUCCAUGACAAACGGGCUACGCCCUUAUCCACGAGCCACACCUCUAAGAAUCAAUAAACUGAUGUUUAAUGACCCGAUAUAUCGAUCAACGAACCAAGUUACCCUGGGGAUAACAGCGCAAUCUACUUCAAGAGCCCCUAUCGACAAGUAGGUUUACGACCUCGAUGUUGGAUCAGGGUAUCCCAGUGGUGCAGCCGCUACUAAAGGUUCGUUUGUUCAACGAUUAAAACCCU
This 1052-nucleotide ribosomal RNA is filed under the name Sylvirana spinulosa (fine-spined frog). Its description in RNAcentral is "partial 16S ribosomal RNA". It matches the Rfam family "Bacterial large subunit ribosomal RNA", at positions 840 to 2597 of the family's 2925-position model. The record is from RNAcentral. Lineage: Eukaryota; Metazoa; Chordata; Amphibia; Anura; Ranidae.